RNAcentral lists this ribosomal RNA (254 nucleotides) under uncultured bacterium. RNAcentral describes it as "partial 16S ribosomal RNA". It matches the Rfam family "Bacterial small subunit ribosomal RNA", at positions 524 to 776 of the family's 1533-position model. The record is from RNAcentral.
CACGUAGGGGCCAAGCGUUGUCCGGAUUUAUUGGGCGUAAAGAGCUCGUAGGCGGCUCGGUAAGUCGGGUGUGAAACCUCCAGGCUCAACCUGGAGACGCCACCUGAUACUGCUGUGGCUAGAGUCCGGUAGGGGAGCGUGGAAUUCCUGGUGUAGCGGUGAAAUGCGCAGAUAUCAGGAGGAACACCAGCGGCGAAGGCGGCGCUCUGGGCCGGAACUGACGCUGAGGAGCGAAAGCAUGGGGAGCGAACAGG